CAGGCCUAACACAUGCAAGUCGAGCGGUAACAGGGGGUGCUUGCACCCCGCUGACGAGCGGCGGACGGGUGAGUAAUGCAUAGGAAACUGCCCAGUAGUGGGGGAUAGCCCGGGGAAACCCGGAUUAAUACCGCGUACGCCCUUCGGGGGAAAGCAGGGGAUCUUCGGACCUUGCGCUAUUGGAUGUGCCUAUGUCGGAUUAGCUAGUUGGUGGGGUAAAGGCCUACCAAGGCGACGAUCCGUAGCUGGUCUGAGAGGAUGAUCA
This 265-nucleotide ribosomal RNA is filed under the name Gambierdiscus australes. RNAcentral describes it as "partial Bacterial small subunit ribosomal RNA". It matches the Rfam family "Bacterial small subunit ribosomal RNA", at positions 43 to 306 of the family's 1533-position model. The record is from RNAcentral. Lineage: Eukaryota; Dinophyceae; Gonyaulacales; Pyrocystaceae.